AGUCGAGCGGAUGAAGAGAGCUUGCUCUCUGAUUCAGCGGCGGACGGGUGAGUAAUGCCUAGGAAUCUGCCUGGUAGUGGGGGACAACGUCUCGAAAGGGACGCUAAUACCGCAUACGUCCUACGGGAGAAAGCAGGGGACCUUCGGGCCUUGCGCUAUCAGAUGAGCCUAGGUCGGAUUAGCUAGUUGGUGAGGUAAUGGCUCACCAAGGCGACGAUCCGUAACUGGUCUGAGAGGAUGAUCAGUCACACUGGAACUGAGACACGGUCCAGACUCCUACGGGAGGCAGCAGUGGGGAAUAUUGGACAAUGGGCGAAAGCCUGAUCCAGCCAUGCCGCGUGUGUGAAGAAGGUCUUCGGAUUGUAAAGCACUUUAAGUUGGGAGGAAGGGCAGUAAGCGAAUACCUUGCUGUUUUGACGUUACCGACAGAAUAAGCACCGGCUAACUCUGUGCCAGCAGCCGCGGUAAUACAGAGGGUGCAAGCGUUAAUCGGAAUUACUGGGCGUAAAGCGCGCGUAGGUGGUUUGUUAAGUUGAAUGUGAAAUCCCCGGGCUCAACCUGGGAACUGCAUCCAAAACUGGCAAGCUAGAGUAGGGCAGAGGGUGGUGGAAUUUCCUGUGUAGCGGUGAAAUGCGUAGAUAUAGGAAGGAACACCAGUGGCGAAGGCGACCACCUGGGCUCAUACUGACACUGAGGUGCGAGAGCGUGGGGAGCAAACAGGAUUAGAUACCCUGGUAGUCCACGCCGUAAACGAUGUCAACUAGCCGUUGGAAGCCUUGAGCUUUUAGUGGCGCAGCUAACGCAUUAAGUUGACCGCCUGGGGAGUACGGCCGCAAGGUUAAAACUCAAAUGAAUUGAC
Molecule: ribosomal RNA, 859 nt
Filed under: uncultured bacterium
Lineage: Bacteria
Description: bacterial SSU rRNA
Rfam family: Bacterial small subunit ribosomal RNA
Source: RNAcentral